UGCCUAAUGCGGGAAUCGAACCCGGGUCAUAGUGGUCGAAAACCAACGGUUUAGACCAUCCUUCCACCAACUC
Cordylochernes scorpioides is the source of this 73-nucleotide non-coding RNA. The record is from the annotation of a GenBank genome assembly. NCBI's taxonomy places the organism in Eukaryota, Metazoa, Arthropoda, Arachnida, Pseudoscorpiones, Chernetidae.